UACGUAGGUGGCAAGCGGUGUCCGGAUUUACUGGGCGUAAAGAGCGCGCAGGCGGUCGUUCAAGUCGCGUGUGAAAGCCCCCGGCUCAACUGGGGAGGGUCACGCGAUACUGAUCGACUCGAAGGCAGGAGAGGGAAGUGGAAUUCCCGGUGUAGUGGUGAAAUGCGUAGAUAUCGGGAGGAACACCAGUGGCGAAGGCGACUUCCUGGCCUGUUCUUGACGCUGAGGCGCGAAAGCUAGGGGAGCAAACGGG
This 253-nucleotide ribosomal RNA is filed under the name uncultured bacterium. Its description in RNAcentral is "partial 16S ribosomal RNA". It matches the Rfam family "Bacterial small subunit ribosomal RNA", at positions 524 to 776 of the family's 1533-position model. The record is from RNAcentral.